GAAGGCUGAUUUAAUACCUUAGGAGUCCUUGACUUGAUGUUAAUGGAAUUUGUGAACAAGUACUUACCAAUAGAAAGGACCACAAUCCACAACCAAUAAUGGCCUUGGUUUUUCAGAAACCAGUAAAAAUAAAUAGGCCACAAACUUCAUACUUAGAUUAAGCAAACACAUAGUUGCACUACGUUUUCUUAACAGAAUUUGUCCUUCACAACAAGAACAUUACUUACACAAAAAUUUACAUACACAAAGCCUUCUUUCUUAUCAGUAUGGCCAAAUUAAAGCGAUGCAAAACUACAAAUAAGUCCACUAAAAACGAUUGAUAAACAGAAAAUAAGCAACUUAGUACCGAAAAUGAUUUAAACCUGCGAUACAAAUGCGGAUGGGCAUGGUGGAACUUUUACUUCCACCACUCCUUCAAGCAUCUGAACAACCUUCUUCAUAUUCGGUCUAACAGAAGGGUCUUCUUGAAUACACCAAAUAGCAACCAUCACAAACUUUUCCAGUGUCGUUUUAUCACCCAAGGCCUGAACUUCAUAAUCUACAACAGCAUCUAAUUCUCCUUCAAGGUAGCAAUCGUAGACCCAGUCCGUUAAUAUUACUUUCUCUUCGCAGUUAUUUUCCACAUCAACGCUUCUCCUACAACAAAUGAUCUCAAGCAGCACAACACCAAAGCUGUACACAUCAACUUUGGUAGUGAUUGGCAUGUUCCUAAACCACUCAGGUGCAACAUACCCUUUUGUUCCUCUAAUGGCAGUAUGAGUCUUGCUCUGAUUCAUCAUCAAAAGCUUUGCCAAUCCAAAGUCAGAGAUUCGAGCAGUGUAAUAAUCGUCAAGCAGUAUGUUCUGAGGCUUUAUAUCACAAUGGAUAAUUUGAGUACCGCAGUCUUCAUGCGAGUACAGAAGUCCUCUGGAAACUCCAUAAGCAAUUUCAAUUCGUUGUCUCCAACUCGGUUUGAUAUCAGUAAAAAGGAAGCUUGCUAAUGUGCCCUUGCUUAAGAACUCGUAUACUAGCAAUCGAUGUUGCCCUUCGUCACAAUACCCAACCAGGCAAACUAGAUUCUUGUGAUGUGUCUUACCAAUUACUCGCAGUUCUGUCUUGAAUUCCUUCUCACCAUCUUGUAUCACACCGUUUAGCUUCUUCACUGCCACUUGGACACCAGAACCAAUUUGUAUUGUCCCUUUGUAAACAACUCCGAAGGUACCUCUUCCUAAUUCUUCUGUGAAUCCAUUUGUAGCUUCUUGAAGCUCUUGGUAACUAAAAGAAUGCAAAUUUGAGUCCAAAAUAUUUUCGACAGACCUUACAUGUUUCUUCCGGAAAACAAAGAAAAAUCCCCGACAAGCAGCAGCACUAAACAUAAAACUAACAAAGAUAGAGGCAGCCAGAAUUAUAGACUCCACGCAUAUCACAGUGUUACUGCUCUUCUUCUUCGUCUUCUUGUCAUCUGGAUUUGGCAUUGGAGGAAAUUGUAGAGUUGAAUUGUCCUUUCUGACUUUGAUGAAGGCUUGUGAAUUAAGAUUUACAUCCACUCUCCCAUUUGAGAGAGGUAACUUCUUUUUCCAACAGGUUUCAGACCGGAAAAUAGCAACAGCACACAAACAAUCUUGAAAGCAAGAUUCAUUGCACCUCUCUGCAGUAAAAGGAUAUACCUUUACAUAAUCUGAGGUUGGCCAAUCUGUAUUUGUUAGCACCUCAACAUCAUAUAAAUAUUUUGUGCCACUAAGCUCAUCUUCUUCACAGCCUUGUAUGAAAUCCGGUUUGCAUCCCCGGUAUGGAUCAUUUGGAUCAAGUAAAGAGAACCCUUUUGGGCAUCCACAGGUUGGCCUCUUAUCUUUGAGAGUGCAGAUACUGUUGUACCCACAAACACCAACACCUGAAUCUUCUCUAUUUCUUUGGCAAAUAUCAUCUGGCUCUGACCACCGAAGAGUCCAGCUCACAUUUCCAGUGAAAUUCUUGGGGUGAUAAUAUUGAGCAAAAAUCCCAUCAAAGUUGAGAGUUGCUCUAAUAUAGUUGUCCCUUGCUGAGACUACCUCUUCCCCUGCAAGAUUGUACUUUCCACCAUUCUCUCUCAGAACAUACAAGUAGCCUGAGACAUUGAAAACCAAUUCUUUACCUUCACUACCUGCCACAGUCCCUGAGGUAGUGUCGGUUGAAUAGUAAGGUUCAUUGGCAAAUUCUGUUGGCAAGUUUAUGGUGCUGAUUACAAGGUUCCCAUCUCCUUGCAGAAGCAGCUGGAACCGUCCUUUCAAAUAGUUAGUCUCCGAUUGUCGAGACGAAAGCGUCCCACUUCUUUCAAUUUUCUGUCCAGGCAACAAGGUAUCUGUAGGAUUGUUGAAGGUCUCCCAUAAGCUUUCUGAAUUUCUAUCUUGAAGAACAAAGUUGCCUGUAUCAUUCAUGACCCCAUUAGCAACAACACCAACACUGAUUUCAGAUUUCCAUAGCUCUUCACCUUGAGGACUUUUAAGCACUAGACCGCUGUUGGCAGUCAAGUUCACAGUUGACCCCUUGGGUGCAACUGCAGCCUCAUUAUCCCGAUCUGCAUACCAAACUAUGGUUCUGUCUGGUAUUUUGGCAUACCAUAUUGAGAGCAGGAAAAGACCAUUGCUUCCAAGUGGAAAAAAUCCAAAGGCAAAAUCACCAGAUGGAGAAAGCCAUGGUGAGGAGUUAGCUGCAGUUGCAGUUAGGGAAUCCCCCACUGCUAUGCUGCCGUUAGUUUGAGCAAACACAGAAACUGGUAGCAGAAACAGACAGGAAAACAGAAGCAGCCGUACAGUAAAAGCCAUUGCUAAUUUUCUAGCACCAAUGUGGUUAGGCAUACUACAAUAUCGUAGCCUAGCUAUUUUAUAAUGAAGAAUGGGACCAUGGCCCUUGCUUCCUUGAAAUUUCUUGCUAUAAAUGCGCGUGCCACAUCUUAAUGAAGCAUGAGACGUGCUCAUUUCUAGUUUGUGUAUACUAAUCUAUAUUAACCAUACACUACGACACGAACUUAAAGACCCUCGCUACCGGUCACACACAAAAAUUUCUCAAAUGACACAUUUUCUCCUUCUAACAGCUUAGUUUGAAAGGCAAAUAUGUCAUUCAAUAGCAAGAAUUUCUCACAAAAUAUUCUCUUGUUAUUUUAUUCUCAAAAUUUGUGUUCAUGAACCGUUUUAUAAUUCUACUAAUUAUGUUCGUAUGUGUACUUGGUAUGAUGUUACGUUGACCUUUCUGUUAUAUAUAUAUACACACACACACACAAAAAAAAAGCUUCAGUGGAGAAUUCCUCAAAUAAUAUUUGAGGGGCACAUUUGUAGGACACACCACAUAUUGUAUUUCAAUAAUCCAAAACUGUCUAGUUUUUAGAUAUUCUCUUUCAAAUAUCAUCUCCAAAAAAUAUUUUUUUUUUUCUGCUAAAAUUUUGCUUCUUGUCUUUGUUGUUGUACCUUUAUGAAUAUUUCUCUGUUGUGGUGGUAGAAAACAUUUAGGCCAUGUUUGGUAUGCUUCACUAUGCCUCACUGGACUGGAUUGGAUUAAACAAUACUUGAAACCCAUGUUUGGUAAGGGAGGGGAUUAUCUUAAAUGAGAUUAUAUAGUCCAAUAGUUAAAAAAAGCCCGGACUCACACAGCUAAUAUAGUGAGCCCAAAAUUGGGUUCGCAAAAUAGGACGCUCGCUAUUUUGAACACGCGAGUCCGACUUCCUUAUCGCUUGAAUCAAAACCCCACCACAGAUCCAAUCAAUGAAACCCAACGCUCAUCGCUCUACCCUGGAUUUCUUCUCAGAACGAUCUCUCUUUGCACCCCAGCAACUAGCAGAACCCAAAACCAUCUCUUUUCGCCAUCUGAGUCCAAUUCGUAGUAGUUCCAAAGAAAAAAAGAAAAGCAAAAAAUAAUGAAACCAGAAACAGAGAGAAGAAAGAAGGAAAAAGGAAGAAAAGAAAAGAAGAAAAAAAUAUGGGUCUGUGUAAUUAUGAUACUGCUCCUAUUUGGGUAGCUUCCUUACUUACUGAUGAUGUUUUGGGGAUGUCUAGAAUCCGCUUGAUUUGUGUUGAGUCGGCUUAGAUCGUUUUCAUUCGAACGCACCAUCCAUUGAGCGCAGACAAUGAAGACGGCAAUGCUGGAAAAAAUGGAGCCAUCUUGCUGUUGUUGCCAAAUUGCUCAUCUUGGAUUACAGGUUUUGAUGCGCUGCUUGGUGGAGACCACAAAAAAAUGAGGACGGGCUGGGAAGAGAACAGGAGAACAAGAAGAAAGGAAAGGGAAAAAAAAAAAAAGGACGGGCUGGGAAGGAAAGGUAGAAGAAAAGGAGAAAAAAGGAAAAAAUGAAGAAAGGAUAAGAUAGUUUGGCUUUUAAAAAAUAUUAAAAUUUAUUUGUUUUAUUAUUAUUUAUUUUAAGGUCAUCCUUAAUUAAAAGUAAAUAUUAGAAUUUUAUUUAUUUAUAAUUAAAAUUAAUUAUUAAAAUAAUUAUUUUUUACUCCGACACAACUCCAAACAUAGGUCUUCACUAUUUUCACAAUCCAGCUUCUUAGUCCGACGCAGCACCAAACAUAGGUCAGUACUUAAUCCAGCUUAGUCCAGUCCGAGCUAAUCCAAAACAGUUCCAGGAUUUAGUCCAGUCCAUGACAGUCCGCCGUACCAAACGACCCCUUACCUCUACUUCUCAUCUUUGUUGUAAAUUUUCCUUCUUUCCUCCCUUCUAGCUAAAAAUAUGGAAAGUUGUAUAGAUAGAAAGAAAAAAAAAAAAAGACGGAUACAGCUGGAAAGGAGUCAUAAAAGGGGUGCUGUCAAAUCUGAGCUUAGAGUUUGUGAGGGUAGGGGGGAAGUAGGACAGAAUUGGAAAAAGAUGGAAGAAAGACCCCAUCAAGUGAAGACUACAAAGUCUUCAAGUGGAUGAGAUUUUGAAUGUGAGAUAUUUAGGCUCAUUUGGUAAUGUUUUAAGGGGUUGUUUUUAUUUUUAGAUAACAAAAAUGAGGCAAAAACACGUUCGGUAGCCAAAAAACAGAAAACACGGAAAAUGAUGUGUACUUGUAGAAAACAGAAAAAAAUUGUUUUCAUUCUCAUGGGAAACGUUGUCAUAAAAUAAAUAAAAGUAAAAAAUAUCUUCUGCGUCCGUGUCUCUAUAUUCUUAGUCAUAUGUUCUUUGCCCCAGCUUACCUCUAACUAAAGUUUCUAGUCUCUGAUCUAUUAUGGUCAUGCCCAUAAAGUAAUCCAAGUUGGGCACGACAAAGAACACGACCCACGGACACGAAUUUUCCACCAUGGUUCCAAGGGCAGAACAGAGAAUACGACCUGCUAACACGAAUUUGCCACCCUAGCUCCAAGGACAUAAACAAAGAACAAGACCCGCUAACACGAAUUUACCACCCUAGCUCCAAGGACACAAACAAAGAACAUGAUCCACUGCCGCUGACACGAAUUUUCCACCAUGGUUCCAAGGGCACGACAAAGAACACGACCCGCUAACACGAAUUUGCCACCCUAGCUCCAAGGACACGACAAAGAACAUGACCCACUGACACGAAUUUUCCACCCUUCCAAGCCAAAAUAUGUAAUAAAUAUGAGCUUGUUAACCAUUUAAGUGUAGCAGUCAAAAUUCAAUAGUAAUAAAUAUGAGCGUUGCUACGUAACUCUAAUUUGAUUAUUUGAAGUUGAAGCCAAUUGCCAAUGAAAUCUACGACGCAAUGUUUCUUAACAAAAAUUUAUCAUUUCCAUUACAUAAAUAGAGCAUUCUUUCUUAACCCUCAACCCUAUCACCUUUGGUACUUUAUAUUUUUUUUCUUCUAACAUUAUUGGUCCUUUGUAUUUUUUAAAAAUAGUUUAACAUUUAAAAUCUUUUAGAAAAAAUUUAAUUGAAAAAGAUAAUUUUUUCAAAAAAUAAUUUUUUUUUAAAUUCAAAUCCACUUGGCAUGUUAUAAUUGGACAUAUAGGCUCUAUAUACAUGUUAUGUCAAAUUCGUUAUGUUAUGUUACAAUUUCUAUUAAAUUGAUGAAAAUUUCAACAGAACCUAACAGAUUUGACGUGACAUGUAUGUAGAGCCUACAUGUCCAAUAAUAACAUGCCAAGUGGAUUUGAAUUAUAAAAAAAAUAUUUUUGGAAUGUCUCUCUUUUUAAAAAAAAUUUAAAAAAAAAUUUAAAAUGUUAAACUAUUUUUUAAAGGGUUUAGAGUUUUUCAACAAAACAUAAUGGAUUUGACGCGACAUGUAUAUGGAGCCUACAUAUCCAUUAAUAACAUGCCAAGUGGAUUUGAAUAAAAAAUGUAUGUUUUGAAAAUUUUCUCUUGUUUAAAAAAAAUUUAAAAAAGAUUUUAAAUGUUAAACUAUUUAAAUGCUGCUAUUUUCACCCCCUUGUCCUAUUUUCCCAUCCACCUUAUUUUCUCACCCACUAUAUGAAUUUGGAAAAACACAAUCCUAUCUUCCACCAACCAUUAUCCUUAUGCUAGAGAGACCAUCUUUUUUGUACCACAAUUAUAUACCAUCAGACGUGGCAUGCCAAAUCAUUUAAUAUAGUUAUAUAUAUUUUAAAUUUUUAUUCUCCCCUAAUUAAAGCACAAAAGUCAUUAAAUAUAGCUAAAUCUAUUUUAUUAUCCCCUAAUGACAGCACAAUUACCGAUACCGAUAGGAGUCUUUCUAUCUUCACUCUGUCUUCUUCCUUCUCCCUACACUGUUUUCUCCACAACAAUUUUAUGAUUGCCGGAUUUUUCAUGGGUGUUAAACACAGAAUCAACCCCUUUCCUCAUGUUGGCUGCCAUUUUUGGUUCUUUGUCUCUUAUGGCCUGCAACUAGUGGUCAAUUUCGCAGUAAAAAAAAAAAAAAAAAACUAGUUGCUAAAAUGUGGUGGAAAAAGCAAUUAAUCUGAUAAAAACUUGGGAGAUUCACUAUAAUACCCAAUAUAUGAGCCCAAAUUAUAAAAAAACCUAUAUGAAAUGGACUUUAGAAACACACCCAAAGUCCAUUUACAACAUAACAAAAAGGUUUUUAACUUCUUUUAAAUUACAAAAUUGUCAUUGAUUUCUUAAAACAAACCCAACCCAAAAACCUCAAAAAAAAAAAAAAAAAAACCCAAAACACUUAAUGGGGCAUCAAAGUAAUUUAAUAAUUAAAAUUAAAUUCAAUAGGGCCAGCUGUUAUUUUUUGGGUAUGUUUAUAGAAAUUAAAUAGUGUAGGGUUUAUUUAUAGUUUUAGUGCUAAGAAUGGAUAUUUGACUAAAUAUUUCUAAAAACUUUAUAUCUUCAUGGACUCUCCCUCAAAAAUCUAACUAUACUGUUCUUGUAAAUCUGAAAUAAUAUAAUAUUUAGAAUCAAAACCCAACCACCUUUCCUUGGUGUAUGAAAUGGGUGAGAGGGAGGAGGAAGACGAGGAAAGAUUAAAAAUAAAUAAAUAAAUAAAUCUUAUGGGAUCAGUGCAUCAAUUAGGAGAGAAUGAAAAUUUAAAAUAUAUGUAAUUGUAUUAAAUGAUUUAGCAUGCCACAUCAUCUUCCACAUCAUAUGGUAUACAAUUGUGGUACAAAAAGAUGGUCUCCCUAGCAUUACCCUUCUCUUUAACCUUCUCCUUUGAACUUUCUCCCUUCUCCUUAUAUCAUGUGUCACUUUCUUUAUACUAAAAUAAUAUCAUUAAUGCAUAGCUUUUGUUUUUCAAAAUUACCCUUAUUAAAUAUAUUGACUUUCAUAUUACAUUUAAUUUAUCUAAAAUUUUUUAUAAAUGGAAAAAAUAAAAAUAGAAAUUAUUAAAAUAAUAUUUUGUUUUACCCACCAACCCCAGCCAUAGACGGGAGCAGAUCCGCUGUCCCCAAAUUGGUGUCCCCUUCAUGUCCUCUCUCUAAUUUGCUGACACGUGUCAAUUAACAUAACGGAGAGUUAACUCCGUUAAUUUUUUUAUUUGACAAUUUUAAAAAUUAAAAAAAUUAUAAACUGCCCAAAAUAACCCACCAGCCAGCGAGCGUCCUUUCUUGCUAAACCCAGAGCGUCGUCUUCCUUGGGGUCUUUUAUGUGUUUGGCUAUCUUUGAAGAAUUUGUGAAUUAAAUGGUUAAUUGGAGUUGAAUCUACUGCUGUUAUGACAUAGAGAUUUAGUUAUUUGGAGUUUAACGAUAUUCACGAGGUGAUGGUUGCUCUGUCGCCAACAACCUUCAAGAGGCAGAGGAGAGGACCCAUCACCUUGGAUGGUUUUGCUCAUGCUCUUCCACGGCUUCCCAUACCAACAAGCUUUGAUGCCGUCAAAAGCACCAGUUUAAUGACUCUGCCUCUUCUUCCGUACCCUCCUCCUCCUCCUCCUCCAUCAUUAGUUUCUGUUGUGACCAACCAAGCAAUGGUGCCAAUUGAGUUUGAGUUAAUUAAACCUUGUGAAGGAGAAGAGAAGCUGAUGGAUUUGAAAAUUGCGGCUGCAAUUCCAAAAGAAAAAGAUCUGCUCCAGCAACUACAAGGAAGUGCCCCUACCCCUACACCAAUCAAUGUCAUAGGGUCUGAAGAAGUUGAAUGCACAAUGUGUUUGACAAAAUGUUGCAGCGAGAUGUAUGCAUUUUGCCAGUUUAUUGACUUACUGAAGAUAAAUCUUUUUUCCCCUCAUGAGGGAAAGAAUGAAAUAUGCUUAAUUUAGGUCCUACCACUUAACAACGAGCAAUAUUCAGUUAUAAUUGAUUCCACAUAGUCGCUGGGUUUAGCAAGGAAGAUGACGUUCGCUGGGUUUAGCAAGGAAGACGACGUUUGCAGGGUUUUGCAAGGAAGACGACGCUGGGUUUGGGCAGUUUUUUAUUUUUUUAAUUUUUAAAAUUGUCAAAUAAAAAAAUUAACGGAGUUAACUUCCCGUUAUGUUAGUUGACACGUGUCAUCAAAUUAGAGAGGGGACAUGGAGGGGACACCAAUUUGGGGACAGCAGAUCCGCUCCCGCCAUGGACCCCAUUUCCAUCUCCCAAAAUAUAUUGCUUCUCUUGCCAGCCAUACCACUGUGUAACAUCUUCCUUCCGCCCUUGUGGCUGGGUUGUUUUUUCAAUGUUUUCAUAUUUCCUUCUUAAUGUUUUAAUUAUUAAUAUCCUAAAACUGAUUUUUAAAAUUUUUUAAAUUGCACUUUGUAUUUUUUUUAAGAACUGAGGGGGUAUUUUAUAUCAAUCAAAAUUUGAUAUGCUACCAAACGACAAAAGGCUUAUCCAUUAAUGUUUCGGAAUUUCAGAUUCUCAAAAUUUUGUGUUUGUUAAAUUAUUAGAUUUUUUUUAUUAUUAUUUUAAAUAACAUUUAUAAUUAUUUUUUAAUAGUAAUUCAAAAGAAAGUUAAUUCAUUCAAUAAGGGUAACUUUGGAAAACAAAGGCUAUGCAUUAAUGACAUUGUUUUAAGAGCAUGUUUACGUAUCAGUAAUGGAGAAAAUAAGGAAUCAGAGAAUUUAGGAAUAGGGGAACUACUGAAUCGGUAUGGGAAGAAUCAUUCACAUUAAGCUGUUUACUAAAUAUCUAGAAUUAGCAAAGGAAUGGGGUUGAUUCCCAUUGUUAUUGUUUACUAAUUUUCAUGAAUUAGAAUCGAAAUUAAUUUGAUUACUGAAAUGCCCUGCACAUUUUCACCACAGCACAUAUAUAAUUCUCAAACUGGCUAAAGAAACCAAACUAAUCCCGCAGCAAACUAGUAAGGCGGUGUAAGCAUGAGGACUCAAUAUGCUGAACAAGAUGAACAGUAAGAGCCCAGUUCAAUGAUAAUGUUAAUAACACCUUUGUCUAGAGUCAAUUUCUAACGAAAAAAUAAACUCCAAUAAAUAUAUAUAUUUCACCUACAUAACUAGUAAACAAUCAAAUAAUAAUAACCUGCAUAAUCUUCAUAUGAUUAAAUACAUAAUCUUCAUACUACCUAAAAAAAAGAAAGAUAUAAUCUCCAUAAAAGUCUUUAUCCAUGAUUGUAUUUUGUUUUGUGAUGAAUGUGAAGACAGAAGAUAGAAGAAGAAGAAGAAGAAGAUAGAUAGAUAGAUAGAUAGAAUGGCUUACAUAGCACAAGGCAUUGUUGCUGCUUCUGGGAGGUUGUGUCUGCAACGCUAACGUGAAAAAGAAGUUGGAGCGUCUUGGAACUUCUUGGUGUGAGUUUUUAUUUUUUUUAAAGGUUUAGGGUGUUUUGGAAGUAUGGUAAAGUGGUAAGAGUAUUUUUGGAAGUUAUUAAGAGUAAACAGGAAUGAGAAUCAUAUCGACUACUCCCCCCUAGUUGAUCUGAUACCUAGUUUUGAGGGGAUGUGAUUACGCAUUUUGAGGUGGGGCCUACUUAUUUUUUCAUUCCUGAUUGCAAGUAAACGCAGGCGAAGUCAAGAAUGGAAAUCAUUCACUUUCCUCCCAUACCCAUUACUGAUACGUAAACAUGCCUUAAGAGGAAAAUAAAAAAUAUAAAAAGGGGAACUAAUGUCGUUAAAAUUAUUUCUUGAGCAUGAAAUUGAAUGCGCUAGAUAAAUGGAAAAGCCAUGCCACCACUAGACUUGGACUAGGAUGGUUUAGAGGAUAAGAAAAAUGCAUACAAGGAUGUGAAGAAAAUUAUAAACAUGUAAGUGAAUAAAUUUUUCUUGAUCCAGAAGGAUGUAACAGAGCACACGCCAUUAAAGCUGUGUACAAUGUUUGCAGGAUAGCUCCAACCCAAUGACAUAUAUCGUUGGCAACAUGAUCUUGUUCGAAAAAGUCUUAUGUGAAUUUUUUACGGCUAUUUUUUCUUCUUCAAGAAACUAAAGAUUAACCAUCUCAGGGUGAUUUUAUAGUUUAGACAUGCUCUGGUGGGUUAGAAAGUUCUUCUCUUUCAGUUUUUGAGUUAGAGAAGAUAACAAGAGAGUGGAGAGAGAAAGUGCGAUUUUAGGGGAGACCAAUUUAUUUUCCAGAAAAAAGUCAAACAAUAGACAAAAAUAACAUUAAUUAUUAUUUUAUAAGUCGAUAAUAUAAACCGUUGAUAGUAGAUGAAUCUAAUGGUGUUAAAAGUGUGUUUUAUUGGUUGUGAAAAUAGAGCAUUCUUUCUUAUUAUCCCCAGUAUAUUAUGGCCAAAUAAAAGAGAUGCAUAUAUCUAAGAAGCGAAAACAGUGCAGAACCACAAACUAGUGUGAUCAUAGAAUCAAAUCCAAAAAAAAAGAACAAGAACAAGAUUGAAAAGCAGGAAAUAAGCUAGUACUGGCAGUAAAACCUUAGCUGCAAUGCAAUGCAAUACAAACAAAGUUGGUUUCAGCUUGUUCUGGGGGUAUAUGGAGAUGGACAUGGAGGAACAUGCACUUCCACCACGCCUUCAAGCAUCUGCACAACUUUCCUCAUAGUUGGUCUAAGAGACGGGUCAUCUUGAAUACACCAAAUAGCAAUCAUCACAAGCUUUUCCGGCUUCAUUCUAUCAUCUAAGGCCUGAACUUCAUUAUCUAGAACUAGAACAGCAUCUAACAUUCCUCCGCGGUAGCAAUCAUAGACCCAAUCCGUUAAAAUUGCUCUCUCCUCACGGCUAUUGUCCGCAUCAACGCUUCUCCUACAGCAAAUGAUCUCAAGCAGCACAACACCAAAGCUAUACACAUCAACUUUGGCAGUGAUUGGCAUGUUCCUGAACCACUCAGGGGCAACAUACCCUUUUGUUCCUCUAAUGGCAGUAUGAGUGUGGCUCUGAUUCAUCAUCAAAAGCUUUGCCAAUCCAAAAUCAGAGAUCCGAGCAGUGUAAUAAUCGUCAAGCAGUAUGUUCUGAGGCUUUAUAUCACAAUGGAUGACUUGGGUGCAGCACUCUUCAUGCAAGUACAAAAGUCCCUUGGCAACUCCACAAGCAAUUUCAAUUCGCUGCGUCCAACUGGGUUUUGUAUCAGCAAAAAGGAAGCUUGCUAACGUGCCCUUGCUUAAGAACUCGUAUACUAGCAAUCGAUGUUGCCCUUCGUCACAAUACCCAACCAGGCAAACUAGAUUCUUGUGAUGUGUCUUACCAAUUACUCGCAGUUCUGUCUUGAAUUCCUUCUCACCAUCUUGUAUCACACCGUUUAGCUUCUUCACUGCCACUUGGACACCGGAACCAAUUUGUAUUGUCCCUUUGUAGACAACUCCAAAGGCACCUCUUCCUAAUUCUUCUGUGAAUCCAUUUGUUGCUUCUCGAAGCACUUGGUAACUAAAAGAAUGCAAAUUUGAGUCCAAAAUAUUGUCGAUAGACCUUACAUGUUUCUUCCGGAAAACAAAGAAAAAUCCCGGACAAGCAGCAGCACUAAACAUAAAACUAACAAAGAUAGAGGCAGCCAGAAUUAUAGACUCCACGCGUAUCAAAGUGUUACUGCUCUUCUUCUUCGUCUUCUUGUCAUCUGGAUUUGGCAUUGGAGGAAAUUGUAGAGUUGAAUUAUCCUUUCUGACUUUGAUGAAGGCUUGUGAAUUAAGACUUACAUCCACUCUCCCAUUUGAGAGAGGUAACUUCUUUUUCCAACAGGUUUCAGACCGGAAAAUAGCAACAGCACACAAACAAUCUUUAAAGCAAGAUUCAUUGCACCUCUCUGCAGUAAAAGGCUUUAACUGCACAUAAUCUGAGGUUGGCCAAUCUGUAUUUGUUAGCACCUCAACAUCAUAUAAAUAUUUUGUGCCACUAAGCUCAUCUUCUUCACAGCCUUGUAUGAAAUCCGGUUUGCAUCCCCGGUAUGGAUUAUUUGGAUCAAGUAAAGAGAACCCUUUUGGGCAUCCACAGGUUGGCCUCUUAUCUCUUCUGAGAGUACAGAUACUGUUGUACCCACAAACACCAACACCUGAAUAUUCUCUGUUUCUUUGGCAAAUAUCAUCUGGCUCUGACCACAGAAUAGUCCAGCUUACAUUUCCAGUGAAAUUCUUGGGGUGAUAAUAUUGAGCAAAAAUCCCAUCAAAGGUGAGAGUUGCUCUAAUAUAGUUGUCCCUUGCUGAGACUGCCUUUCCCACUGCAAGAUUGUACUUUCCACCAUUCUCUCUCAGAACAUACAAGUAGCCUGAGACAUUGAAAACCAAUUCUUUACCUUCACUACCUGCCACAGUCCCUGUGUCGGUUGCAUAGUAAGGUUCAUUGGCAAAGUGUGUUACAAAGUUUAUGGUGUUGAUUACAAGGUUCCCAUCUGGUUGCAGAAACAGCUGGAACACUCCUUUCGAAUAGUUAGUCACCGAUUGUCGAGAAAAAAGCUUCCCACCUCUUUCAAGUGUCUGUCCAGGCAACAGGGUAUCAGUGGGAUUGUUGAAGGUCUCCCAUAAGCUUUCUGAGUUUAUAUCUUGAAGGACAAAGUUGCCUGUAUCAUUCAUGACCCCUUGGGCAACAAUACCAGCACCGGUUUCAGAUUUCCAUAGCUCGUCACCCUGAGGAUUUGUAAGCACUAGACCGCUGUCGUCGAUCAAAAACACAGUUGACCCCUCGGGUGCAACUGCAGCCCCAUUAUACCACACUAUGGUUCUGUCUGGUAUUUUGGCAUACCAUAUUGAGAGCAGGAAAAGAUCAUUCCUUCCAAGUGGCGAAAAUCCAAAGGCAAAAUCACCAGAUGGAGAAAGCCAUGAUGAGGAGCUAGCUGCAGUUGCAGUUAGGGAAUCCCCCACUGCUAUGCCACCGUUAGUUUGAGCAAACACAGAAACUGGUAGCAGAAACAGAGAGGAAAACAGAAGCAGCCGUACGGUAAAAGCCAUUGCUAAUUUUCUAGCACCAAUGUGUUUAGGCAUACUACAAUAUCAUAGCUAGCUAUAUUUCAUAAUGAAGAAUGGGACCGUGGCCCUUGCUUCCUUGAAAUUUCUUGCCACAUCUUAAUGAAGCAUGAGACGCGUUCAUUUCUAAUUUGUGUAUACUAGUCCAUGUUAACCAUCCACUACGGCACGCACAAAAAUUUCUAAGUGUAUCUGUCUACAUCGUAGUUUUUUGUUUUAUACUGUCAAAUGACGCAUUUUCUCCUUCUAACAGCUUAGUUUGAAAGGCAAAUAUGUCAUUCAACCGCAAAAAUUUAUCACAAAAAUUUAUUACAAUUGGAGAUUUUAGAAAAGUAAGGUCCAAGAAGACUAAGUAAAAGCUAGGGGUGGUUGCGGUUCGGUAACCGCGAAUUUUUACUCAAACCGCAAACCGACCGACUAUUUGCGGUUUGGUGAUUUUUGAAACCGCAAACCGACCGCGUUUUGCGGUUUACCGCAUUGCGGUAAACCGCAAAAAUGCGGUCGGUUACAGCGAAUUUGCGGUUUAAAACCGCAAAUUCUCAAGCAUUCACAAAAAUAUAAAUUUACAACCUAAAUAAAUAAAUACACAACCUCAAUUUCUCAAACAUAUAUAAAUUCACAAUCGAUUCCAAUUCUCAAGCAUUCACAACCUAAGAAAAUUAAAGUUACAAUUCCAAACAUUCCAAUUAAAGUUAAACUUCUCAAGCAUUCCAAUUUCAAAUCCUUUAAAGUUACAAACCAAAAGCAAAAUGAAUUAAAGUUACAACCAAAAAGAAAAAUCCAAUUCAAAGUUAAUUAAAGUUACAAACUAAAAGGAAAAAUGCAAUACACCAAUGUUACAAACUCAAGUGUUGGUGGUGAGUGGAUUUGAAGAACCCCUUUGUGUUGUUUGAGCACCAAUGCUAUCUACAAAUAAAACAACAUAGUUUAGUACAUUUUAUUAUAAGAAGAAGCAUAAAUAACAUUAGCAUAAAUAAACUAAUUACUUACAAGUUGUCAUAUCUUCCAUUUCCUUGUAGAAUUCAACCUCAUCAUCCGUUGGUUCCUUGUAAAAGGAAAAUUCGUCCGCUCUAAGCCAAUCACUAGUACACACUAAUGCCUCUACCAUUUUAGGAUGCAAAGAGCUUCUAAAAGGAUCCACAAUCCUCUUGCCUAGGCUAAAAGCAUUUUCACUAGCAACCGUAGAACUUGGAAUUGCAAAGAUAUCCUUGGCAACUUGUGAAAGAAUAGGAUAUCUUGUUUGGUUCCCUCACGGCUACAGAGAGAGAAGAGAAGGGUUUACAAUUUUACUUAAUUAUUCAUAGAGUAUAGCCAUGCGGCUAUACUUUGCGGUUUGCGGUAACCGCAAAUUUUGAAAAUCAAAUACCGCAACCGCAACCGCAAAUGCGGUUCGGUUCUUAAUACCGCGAUUGCGGUUCGGUUUACCGCGAUUGCGGUUUUAUUGCGGUAAAAUAUCGGUUGGUUUUUGCAGUUUUUCGGUUUUUCGGUUUAAAAUGCCACCCCUAGUAAAAGCUUAUGCAACAUAAAGAAAGCAUGGUCAUUGUUUUCAUAAAGAAAGCAGUGAGGACAAAAAAGACAUGACCAUUGUUGUCAUAGGAAAAAAAAAAAAGCAAUGAAAUGAAAUUAUGAGAGAAAUAUAGCUGCAAUUUCAUUUGAUGAGACUGCAAGUGUCCAAUUUCAAUUUGAAAAUUUCUUAGUGGGACCACUACGAAGAAAAAGACUGGUUGAAUUUUGCAGUGGGAAUGGGUCAAGAAAGAGACCUAUUGACCCAAAAAAUCAGAGAGAAAUAGAGGACGUAAUAGAGGAGGUAAUGUGGACCACUGGGGUUCGAACAACUUAAACUCAACGCACACUGGGGUUCGAACCCCUCUCAACUCCAAAUUUUUGCAGCCACUUAACCACUACGCUGUUGAUGACUUUGUGAUUAUAAACUACGGAAUCUAGUAUAUAUAAUACUUGCAAGAAUUUCAAAAAUCUUGAACUUUUAAAAAUUAAACAACUUAAACUCAACGCACACUGGGGUUCGAACCCCUCUCAACUCCGAAUUUUUGCAACCACUUAACCACACACUGCUGAUGACUUUGUGAUUAUAAACUAUGGAGUAUAGUAUACAUAAUACUUGAGAGACUUUCACAAAUGAAACAAUUUAAACUCACUCACGCUCUCGCACACAAUGGGGUUUGAACCCCUCUCCACUCCGAAAUUUGCAGCCACUUCACCACCACGUUGCUAAUAACUUUGUGAUUAUAAACUAUGGAAUCUAGUAUAUAUAAUACUUGCGACACUUUCAAAAAUUAAACAAUUUAAACUCACUCACGCUCUCGCACACAAUUGGGUUCAAACCUCUCUCCACUCCGGAAUUUGCAGCCAUUUCACCACCACGCUGCUCAUAACUUUGUGAUUAUAAACUAUGGAAUCUAGUAUAUAUAAUACUUGCAAGACUUUCAAAAAUUAAACAAUUUAAACUCACUCAUGCUCUCGCACACAAUGGGGUUUGUACCCCUCUUCACUCUGGAAUUUACAGCCGCUUCACCACCACGCUGCUCAUAACUUUGUGAUCAUAAACUAUGGAAUCUAGUAUAUAUAAUACUUGCGAGCUGCUUUUCAAGUUUCAACUUUUCAUAGGAACUCUAUGUGGUACUAAGUCACUUAUGUAUCUUACCAUGCAAUGUAUAAAAUGUAAAAUAUUGUAGUAAAUCAUUAUAUAUAAAUGAUUGUGGUGUGUUUAAUCAUUUUCCAUUAAUUACUACAUAUUUUCUACACUCACGGUGUUUGUCAGCUCGCUAUAUAAUCAAAUUAAAUUAGUUAAAUCCAUCAUGCAAUGCAUUUCCUUCCAAUUUUUUGUGAUAAACUAAUAGAUAAUUGACUAAAUAAGCAUCCUCCAAAGUUUCAAUAAAAAUGUCCAAGUUUUUCUUACAAUUUUCGUGGUUUUUAGUCAAUUUUUAUCGAUAUCGAUAAUAUCCCGAUAUUUCCAUCGAAAUUUUCGUGUUUUUGGACUACCGAUAUUUCCGAUAUCACCGAUAUUUUAGACCUUGAUGUGGACUAAUCUUAAACUAUACUGAUUAAACUGCAGGUAUCUUUCUUGUUCUUUUUCACAUCCCCAAAUAACAAAGGAUUUUCAAGUAGAGAUAUCAUUAAGAGAAUUUUUUUAUACAAGCGAUAUUUGACUUUAAUCUAAUCUAAACUACAGGAAAAGUGAUAAGUGUAUUAUUUCCUAUAUUUUUAUACCUUUUAUAUAUAUCGGUUUUGUAGGGAAAGUUAAUUAAAAAGAGUAUUAUUACUUUACUUUCCUUAUUUUCAGCUAUUCUGCACUCUUGGAAGGAUUUCAACUGAAAGUCAACUUUUCGAAUGAAUUUUAGUGCAAGGCCAAUUGUAGAAGAAAGCUAAGACAUUGAAGAUCGUUGUAUCAAAGUUUCAUAAUUUUCUACCAAGCCAAAUGCACCAGACCUGCAAGUCAAGACAGCCUAAGUUGAAAUCCCGUUAGAACUGCACUGCUGUGGAAGAUUGAAGAUUUGAAUAGCUUUCCGAUUUUUCCUAGUGGCGUGUGAUAUAUGCUUGGAAAGCUUAGAGAUAAAGCUACGUUUCUCAUAUUUUUCCAGAAUUUUAUAGGAAGUGGAAUGACCCAAAACAUGCAUGCAAGUUGGCUGACGUGUUUCCUAGUCAAAGAAGGAUUCUUUCCUAGUUUGUUUCCUUAAUUGUUUGAGAUUUUGUUUUGCUUUAGGAGAGUUUCUCUAGACCUUUUUAGAGUAGGGUUUAGUUAUUUUACACUGUAUAAGGUCACCCUAAGGAUCUCUUCAGAGGAUCAUAUUUCCUAUCAUCUUCCCAUAUACAACUUUCAUACACCAACAAAUAUAUCAGAGAGAGAGCCAAGAAUUUGUUGUCGCUGUGUUGCUGUGGAGAAUCCAGAGAUCAAUUCCAUCUGCCAAAUCAGUUUUAUGACAACAAUUUUCUUGUUUAUCUUUUCUUUUGUCAUGAACUAAUUUUCCUUGCUAGGGCUACGAUGUAGCCUAACCAUGAAUACUUAAUUUUUAUAGUUAUAUUAAUUUUUCAUUACUAUUCCAUGUUGAGUAUUUGUUAUUGUUCUUAAUGCUUUGAAUAUCUGGCCAAUAUUUAAUUGAUUUGAUGAUCCAAGCGGAGACCGAGAUGAGAUGUUUGGUGUUUGCAUCUUAUAACAGAUACCAUGUCUUGAAUGAGUGCCCGAGAGGGACUAACAUGACUCAUGCAGUUUUCUUGUAGGUUCUCAUAGAACUUAAUGGGUUCUUGAUUUUCUAAAUCCAUUGCUCGAGAGAGAAUGGGUUGUUAAUUAAGAAUACAUUUGGUUGAGCCCGAAAGGGGAUAUUGAAUGAAUUAGGAGAAACCAACUGUCAACAUGGGUAGUAAUUAGGGUUAAUUGGCUAUAAGAAUUAAGUGGAAUUGGUUAUGUGAAAUCAGAUGCUCUAGUGUCUCAUCAUCUUGAUUUUCCAACAUUAAUUAAAGUGCUAUUUUUCAUAAUUGUUUUAGCUUACUUAAAUCAAUCAAUCUUCUUAAUCAACUGUUCAAAUAAAUUCUAAAUUAAUCAUAAUUAGUAGUUAAUAGGAAAUUGCAAUCUUUGUGAGAACGACACUCUACUUAUUUCUAUAUUACUUGUAUGAAUUGUGCGCUUGCAAUAAUUUCACAACAAGUUUUUGGCGCCGUUGCUGGGGACUGUUUUAUUUUCUAUUAAUAUCAAUAUAUUUUAAUUCGGAGUUUAAUUUGAAUUUAUUUUAUUUUUUAUUUUCAGGUACGUUGAAUUUUUCCGACACUGCCACCUAUGGCGGACGAAGCAGAAGGAGCAGUGAGGGAAUUUGGCCCCUCAGUGGCAACUCCCUCAGCGAUCCGACGUCCUACUAUUGCAGCCAACAAUUUUGAUAUCAAACCAGCCAUGAUCACCAUGCUGCAGAAUUCAUCCGUAUUUUGUGGUUUGCCGAAUGAAGAUCCCAAUAUACAUCUUGCGAUAUUUUUGGAGAUUUGUGACACGUCCAAAUUCAACGGGGUACCUGACGAUGCGAUUCGUUUAAGGCUAUUCCCCUUCUCCUUGAAAGAUAAAGUCAAACUUUGGUUACUGUCACAGCGACAAGACUCCAUCCGUACUUGGGAUGAUUUAUCUAAGAAAUUCCUGGCUAAAUUUUUCCCACCAGCCAAAACUGCAAAAUUCCGACGAGAUAUUAUGUCAUUCGCUCAAUAUGAAAAGGAGCCUCUAUAUGAAGCCUGGGAACGAUUCAAAGAUUUAUUGCGCAAGUGUCCUCACCAUGAGCUACCAACCUGGAUUCAAGUUCAAACUUUCUACAAUGGGUUGAGUCAAACAAGCAGGACAUUAGUUGAUGCAGCUGCUGGAGAGGCUUUAAUGGCAAAAACGGCUACCGAAGCAUUUGAAUUAUUGGAGACCAUGCCAUCCAACAACUACCAAUGGCCGAGUGAAAGAAUGAAUCCGAAACCAGCAGGGUCUUGGAAGUCGAUGCCAUGGCCUUGCUAACAGCACAAAUUUCUAACCUUACUAAAAAAGUUGAUUCUUUAAGUGUUAAUGCUAUAAACACUAAUACUAAUUUUGGUUGUGAAUUUUGUGCAGGCCCUCAUCCAAGUUCAGAGUGCACCACAAGGAACCCAUUCGCGUCCGUUGAGCAAGUAAAUCAAGUUGUAGAAUUUAAUCGACAAAGGAAUGAUCCUUAUUCCAACAUGUACAACCCCGGUUGGCAAAACCAUCCAAAUUUUUCAUGGAGCAAUACUCAGAAUGUGCAGAGAUCACCACCUGGCUUUCUGGUUCAAGAAAAGAAAAUAAAUUUGGAAGAUGCGCUUACCCAGUUGACUAUGUCUACCACCCAAUUUAUGACGGAAACAAAAAUCCAGUUUCAGAAUCAAAGCGUUUCUAUUCGAAAUUUGGAGAUGCAAGUAGGCCAACUAGCUAAUGUAUUGAGUGGAAGAAAUCAAGGAGUAUUGCCAAGCCAACCCGUAAUUAAUCUGAAAAAUCAAGAACAAGUAAUGGCAAUCACAAUUCGGGAAAAGAAGCAAGUAAAUACAGCGGUCAACUUGAAAAAGAAAAAUUAGAAAAAGAGAAAGAAGCUGAGAAAUCCCAAGAAGAAGAAAAUUAUGUUGUUAUGCCGACUCAUUCUCCUCCAUUGAAGCCAUAUGUCCCACCGAUCCCUUUUCCGCUGAGGCUGAAGAAAAAUAAAAUUGAUAAGCAAUCUUCUAAUUUCUUGGAGACGUUCAAAAAGGUGCAAAUCAACAUUCCAUUCGCUUCAGCUUUGGAACAAAUGCCAAGUUCUGAAAAAUUCAUGAAAGACAUCCUCUCGAAGAAAAGGAAAUUUGGUGAUCAUGAGAAAAUCCAACUGACUGAGGAAUGUAGUGCCAUCCUACAACAAAAGCUUCCACCAAAGAAAAAAGAUAGAGGGAGUUUUAAAAUUCCAUGCACUAUUGGAAAUAAUUUCUUUGAAAAAGUUUUAUGUGAUUUAGGUUCUAGCAUUAAUUUACUACCUUUAUAUGUUGCUAAAAAGAUUGGUAUUAGUGAAAUUAAACCAACUACUGUCUCUUUGCAAAUGGCGGACAAAUCAAUCACUUAUCUUGAUGGAAUUAUUGAAGAUGUUCUAGUAAAAGUUGAUACACUCAUAUUUCCGACUGAUUUUCUGGUUUUGGAUAUGGAAGAAGAUCCUGAAACACAAUUAAUUUUGAGCCGUCCAUUCCUGAUUACUGGACGAACUCUGAUUGACGUGGAAGAAGGGCUACUAACUGUCAGAGUUGUGAAUGAAAAAGCGACAUUCAAAGUUUUUGAACCGAUAACAUUUCACGGAAAAGCAAAGGAAAAUGAGACUCUGAGCCAUCCAUCUCCAAAGUUGACAAACCAAGGGUUCCCGGAUCUACCUUGUACUUGUAUGAACUAAAACCAUAUGACCCAGGAAGGAAUGAAUUAGAGGAACUUCAAAAUAAAUCAUACGAGAGUGCGAGACUUUUCAAGGACCAUACAAAGAAGGGGCAUGACAAGCAUAUUAAGAAUGACCACUACUACAAAAAAGCAAAAAGACGACGGUAAAUCACCGUCGUGUAUUGAGUUUUUCAAUGGUCGUGGAAUCCACCGUCAUCUUUUCUCUCAUAAACCACGACGCUAAAUAACCGUCGUUGUUAAAAUAUACAACGUCAUCAACAAAUACAAAACGACGUCUUUGUACUGCAAAAAGAUCUAAAAAAAGCAAUCGAGGAUGAUAAUAGACGACCAACUCUCUAAAAAACACGUCGUUAAAAAGGAAAAAUAUGACACAUAUUAAGAGAACAAGGCCGCAAGAUAGACAUACAACGACGAAAAUAAAAAUACGACGACGUUAAAUAUAAUUUUCACGACAAAUAGUUGUCAGUGUCAUUAUUUACGACAAAUGUGUUUAUAGAUUAGACGUUGAAAAACUAAACAACGUCGGUUCCAAAUAUAUGAGAGUCGUAUUACAAAAUUUAUACGUCCUAUUUUCAGAAACAAACAACGACGACAAAUAUUAGACGUUGUUAAAUAAAACCACGUCGGAAAAAAAUAAAAACAGACGUGUUUAGUCUGCUAAAGUUCUAGAAAAUAGUCGAGGAUGAGAAUAGAUGACCUACUCAAAAAAAUCACCGUCGUUAAAAAGGAAAAAUAUGACACAUAUUAAAAGAACAAGGCAGCAAGAUAUACAUACAACGACGAUAACUAAAAUACUAUGCCGUUAAAUAUAAUUUACACGACAAGAAAAAAUAUGACGUCUUUAAAUACAUGAGAAGACGACGUUAUUGAAAUCUACUACGUCUCUUAUUUACAAAAAACCGUCGUGAAAUAAAUUUUCCACUUCGAUUUUUCUAAAAAAGAUGACGUGGAAAUAGUUGUCAGAGUCAUUAUUUACGACGUACACAUUUAUAUAGUCGACGUUGUAUUUAUAUCUAUCAUCAUCACUCACGACGCACUUAAUAAUAUAGACGACGUUGAACUUCUAAACAACGUCGGUUCCAAAUAAAUGAGCGCCGUAUUACAGGACAUAUAGACGGCGUUGAUUAUGAUGAGAGCCGUAUUACAAAUAACGUCGUUUAAUUGUUAUUAGACGGCGGUUAUAAUGAAUUUCCGUCGGAAUUCAUUUCGUUCCUCUUCGUUUAUAAAAGAACUUGCGACGUGGAAAAUGUAUGAUGACGUCGUAUUUUUUAACGUUCAGAUUAUAUAUCUCAUUUUUUAGACGUCGGUAUUAUGGGAUUGGAGUCGUGUUAUUUUGAAUUACAUGGCGGUUCUUAAUCCUUCCCCGACGUGAUAUCCUGAAUAAUUGCUUCACAAUAGCGUCGUGGUUCUUCAUUGUUACGUUGCUUUAAGACGUCGGUAAAUAUGCUGAAUAACUGGUUCACAAUAACGUCGUGUUUUAUUUGAACGUAGAAAGUGAAGAAAUCACAUUACAAUAUAUUACAAAAUUAAUGUCAUACACUGCCAAUUACAUAAGCAUCAUUCAAUCCAUAUAUCUUCACACCCAUCUCGAAUAUUUUGACCGCCUAACUCACCCACCAGUUCAUCAAAUGUGUCAACAUUUGGCAUCCCUCUAGUAAAUGGCUCACACUCAAUUAUCACAUCACCUAAGACUUCAUUACCAAUAACAUCAUUAUAUUCUCUAUUAGGCAUUGAUAACACUACCGACCAACCACGAUGCAUCGGGUCGUCAACAAAAAAUAUUUGUUUGACUUGAGAAGCCAAAACAAAUUGGUCAUUCCUAUGUCCAAUUUUACUCAAAUCUACAAGGGUAAAUCCAAGUUCGUCGACUACAAGACCAGAACUAUCUAUCCAAUCACACCUAAAGACUGGGAUUGUAAACUUUUGGUAGUCAAGGUCCCAAAUUUCUUGAAUGACACCAUAGAAACCCAUAUUUGAGAGAAUUGGGUUUUUAUCCUAGGCACUAGCAACUUGCAUGGUAUGUGCAAGUAAAUAAACUCCACUAUUUUGAGUUGUCCGCACAUCAUCUUGUGCCUUGAUAUUGAAUUUAAUACCUUUAAUAAGAUAGCUCCUAUAUAAUGGCACUGACAUGUUUGGACCAGCUGCUAGCCACCUUAAAUUUUCUGAUACGCCAUGAUUGUCUUCCUCAAGUUCACUUUGAACCUGCAAAUUAAUCAUAUCUUAAUUCAAUCUAACAUAUAAAUAAGAAGAAAAUUAAAAGAGAAAUAUGUUAUUCAACAACAUAUACCUUGAAGCGUAGCCAUUGAAUGAAAGUGCUAUUGUGCUUAUCCUGCAGCCACUUUGUUCUCUUUCUAAAUUUUGGAUAAGCAAUCUUGAUGUGGAUCAUAUGUUGCCUACAUGACACGAAAAAUUCAAGCAUUACGGUCCCAAAUAUAGAAGAUAAACAUAAGAAAUAAUUUAAAAUGGAAACUUAAAGAAUAAAGCUCAUACGUACUCGAUAUAAGGUAGGACUUCCUCCGUAUUCUCCAAGACAUAUAGAUGUGCUUGAUUCAACAGGUCCUGAUCAACUACGCUCAUUGUGCAACCUGAUAAUGGCUUUGAAAGUCCCAUCUUUUGGCUUGAAGGCACUCCAACUGUACUAACAUCAGAUAAAUGCUGAGUACAAAACUCUACCGCUUCUUCAGCUAUAUACCGCUCAGCAAUGCAACAUUCGGGACGAGUACGAUUCUGAACAUACCCCUUCAGCACUUUCAUAUAUCUUUCAAACGAAUACAUCCACCUAAAAUAUACUGGCCCACAUAGACGAACUUCUCUGACAAGAUGUACUACUAGAUGAACCAUGAUAUCAAAGAAUGAAGGGGGAAAGUACUUCUCAAGCAAACACAGAGUAACUACUACAUCUUCUUCCAACUUAUCUAGCUUGGAAACAUCAACAGUCUUUGCACAUAUAGCAUUGAAGAAGAAGCACAAACGAGCUAUUGCAUACCUUGCAGGCUUCUCCAAAACAGAACGAAUUGCCACAGGAAGCAAUUGUUGCAUUAAGGUAUGACAAUCAUGUGAUUUAAGGCCAAGAAGUCUUGAAUCUUGUAAAGAUACAAGAUUUUUAAUAUUUGAAGAAUAACCUUCAGGGACCUUCAUACCAUAGAAUGAAUUGCAAACCUCUUUCUUCUCUGCUCUUGACAAAUUCCAAGGCCCAGGAGGCAAACGAGUACGUCUUUCUCCAUACUCGGGUUGCAAAUCAGUUUUGACCCCCAUGUUCAAUAAAUCUAAUCGAGCAGCAAUCCCAUCUUUAUUUUUUCCAGGGAUCUCCAGCAAUGUACCAAUGAUACUAUCGCAAACAUUCUUCUCAAUGUGCAUAACAUCUAGGGCAUGCCUCACAGGAAGGUAUUUCCAAUACUCGAGAUCAAAGAAUAUUGAUUUCUUCUUCCAACAAACUCUGUCACCAUUUUCAACCAUAUGCAGCACUUCUUCUCCGGUUAAUGGCUCGGGAGGUAUGCCAUAUUCAGGUUUCCCAUUAAAACCUGCACGUUGCCUCCUAUAUGGAUGAUUGAUUGGUAACCAUUUUCUAUGCCCAAUGUAACAAAUUUUGUGGCCAUUUUUCAACCUGUGACUAGGUGUAUCAUCGCCGCAUAUUGGACAAGCUUUAUAUCCUUUAACAACACAACCAGAUAAGUUUCCAUAGGCGGGGAAAUCAUUAAUUGUCCACAUUAAUGCAGCUCUGAGUGUAAAGUAUUCUCCAUUAUGUGCAUCAUACACUCCUCUAAUCCCAACCCACAAGGAUUUUAAAUCAUCAAUCAAAGGCUCCAAGUAAACGUCUAUAUCAUUUCUGGGUUGUUUAGGACCGGAAAUCAAUAAGGUUAACAUCAUGAACUUUCGUUUCAUGCACAGCCAUGGAGGGAGAUUAUAUGUAACUAAGAUAACCGGCCAACAACUAUAUCUGCUACUUAGAGAACUGUGGGGAUUGAAUCCAUCAGAUGAAAGAGCCAAUCUCAAGUUUCUCGGCUCAUUACCAAACUCAGGCCAUUUAUCAUCAAGAAGUUUCCAAGACGGGGAAUCCGCCGGAUGAGACAUCUGACCGUCAAUUGAUUUUCUAGCAGCAUGCCACCAAGUCAAACUCUUAGCUGUCUCAUGUGAUUGAAACAUCCUUUUAAACCUUGGAAUUGGGGGAAAAUACCACACCACCUUCGCUGGCACACCCUCUUUCAAGAUUGAAUCUUUGCCUUCCUUCCACCUUGAGAUACCACAAGUAGGACAAUUAGUUGAAUCCUCAUACUCCUUCCUAUACAAGAUGCAAUCAUUGGGGCAUGCGUGCAUUUUCUCAUAACUCAGCCCCAAUGCACACAAAGUCUUUUUAGCCUCAUACAUGGAGGUUGGUAUUGUAUUUCCUUCUGGAAGCAAAUCGCCUUGAAGUAUCAAUAAUUCUGUAAAACAGACAUCACUCAUCCCAUGUUUUGCCUUCAAAUUAUACAACUUCACUAAUGCCGAUAACUUCGUGUACUUUCUACAACCAGGGUACACUGGUUGAUCUCCAUCCCCAAUCACAUUGGCAAACUCAUACGGUUCCGAACCAAAAUCACCAAAACCAUUAUCAUCCAUAUCAAUUUCUUCAGACACAAAACUGUACCUACUAUGGCCAUCAUCUUCUUCAACAUUUCUACUAGCAUUAGUAGUUACUUCCCAAGGUUCUCCGUGAAAUGUCCAAUUCUUAUAGCUUUGGUCAAUUCCAUUAAAGUAUAAGUGAUCCCUUAUAAUUCCAACCCCAAACAACUUCAAAUUAACACAUUUAACACAUGGACAACGGAUAUGUGUUGUAGUUAGAAGAUUUUCUACAGCAAAGUUCAAAAAUGCUUCCACCCCAAAUUCAUAUGCCUUCGAUCUUCUAUCCGAGUGCAUCCAUGACUUAUCCAUCUCCGACACUAUAACCUAUUAUCUAUAAUAAAGUGAAAAUACAGGCAAUGACCAUCACUAUAGCAGAUUAUACAAUGAUCUAAUCGCAAGUAAUACACAACAGAGACGACGGGUUUUAAACAAAAACAGACGUAUUUGGCAUAUAUAGACGACGUAUUUUCAACAGACGUCGUCUAUUAUAAGUAAUACAACGACGGUUUAUGAAAAAACCGUCGUGUAUAAGUAAUACAACGACGGUAGUUUAAAAAAACCGUCGUGUAAUCGUCGUCGUACGCCUUAAAAUUCGUCGUGCCUCAGUUUAUUUUCAAGAACACAAAACCCAUUAAGAACACAACAUAUAUAUGAAACCAAGCAAGAAACCAACAUAUACAUGAAACCAAGCAUGAAAACAAUAAAUCCAUUCCCAAUUCAACAUAACAUAGGGUGAUUAAAAGAUACGACAAAAUUAAAUCCAUUCCCAAUUCAACAUAACACAUAAUGUAAUCCAUGAACCCAUUAAACAGAAAAUCCAUGAACCCAUACCUAUAAGCACAUUAUUAACAGAUCGCAAAGCAUACACAUAAAACCCUUUAACAAAACAACCUAAUAUCAUUCAAUGAAUUUACAAGGGGAAGAUAGGGUUUGUACUUACAGGUUGGACGAGCUCACAGAUUCGACGGAGCCUGGAGAGUGCAACUUUUAAUUAGAGCAGAAGUGAGAGAGCGAAAUGUUAUGUCGCGCGAAAUCUGAAAAUUUUAGGUUUCAGGGUUCGAAGUAUAAGAAUAAGAGCCAAAUCUAAAAAAUUUAGGUCGCGCGAAAAUUUUUAGAGUUCGUGCGUUUUAAAACGUCGAAAGAAAAACCAAGGCGAAAGUUCUACACGUACCGACGUAAAUUUAAUAUUCCACGACGGAAACUUCAUUUUUCGGAUUAAGAACGUAAGGCCGUUAUUUUGAAGCUUCAUUUUUCGGAUUAAUUUUAAAUUUAUUUUGAAUUUUUUAUAUAACGACGACUGAAAAACCACGUCGGUGUUAAGAAAUUAAAGACGUUGUAAAUUAUAUAAACCGACUUACAUAUUAAAAUGACGUCGUUUAAAGCGUAAACCAUGUCGUAUGUUUUUCUGUACGACGUAAAAUAUGUAUUCCACGACGUAACCACCGUCGUUAAAAAUUAAUACCCUAAACCCAUAAAACUAAAUUAUACAAUUUAAAAAAUUAAGUUUAUAAAAGGUUUUAUGGUUUUAAAGCCUAACAUAUACCCUAGACUACCCAAAAAUUAUACUUUAAAAAUAAACCCCAAUAAAUAACAACCCUAAUCUCUAAACCCUAGACUCUAAACCCUAAACCAUAAAACUAGAAGUGAUUUUAUGACUCAUCAAAACAAUUUUGUUUUGGAUGGUCAUUUUAAAUUUUUGUUAUUCAAAAUGAAUUUUUUCAAGGUUUAUGUGGAAGAAAAUAUAUCAAUGACUUCAUAGGAGUUGACUUUUCAAUUUUCUGAUUUAUUUUAAAUUUAUUUUGAAUAUUUUGAUAUAAAAAUAAUAAAAUAUUCUUACCAAAACAACAAACCACGUCGGUGUUAAUAAAUUGUAGACGUUGUAAAUUGUAAUAGACUACUAAGUCGUUAAAAUGACGUCGUUAAAAUGAGAAACCAUGGCGGCUAUUUAACUAUACGACGUAAAAUAUAUAUUCCACGACUUAACCGCUGUCGUUACAUAAACGUCGUCGAUGAUACCCUGAACCCUUAAGAAAUUGAAGAUGUUGUAAACCAUAAACGACUCAAUUGUUCAAAGAACGUCGUCUAACUAUAUUUUUACGUCGUAUUUGUUUAAAACACGAAACAACAAAAUACGACGGUUUUUGACUUUAUUAGGUCGUUGGAAAAGUAUUACACGUCGGUUAAGCAAUUUGUAUGUUUGUUUUUUUUUUUAAUUUAAGAAAACCUCAACAAAUUUUUACAUUACAUAUUAUAGAGAAAAUUUGUACAUUAUACAUAAAUAUCAAGUGUUCAAUAAUUGCCCUGUUUAAUAAUUUGGAAAACAAACUCUGCCCAUUCAUUCCGGACUUCAUCAAUGGCUUCUUGGGGGUAUGAAGCUUCCUGGUUUCCCUUGGCAUACUGCAUAAACAAUGACUAUUAGGGUUUAUAAAUAAAAAGAAAUUCAAUCACAGACGACGAUAUUUUUCAUAACCGACGUAGUAUAUCCAUUCAACGACGUUAAUUUUACAUGACCGUCGUUGAUAAUACAAAAAACGACGUGAAAUGUAUGAAGGUAAUUUCUUCUUACCUUAUUCUCAAACCCCAAGAAAGGAUCCAUGAUGAUGUCCCUCAUGAAGCGCAUCACAUAGUACCCGCAUUCGACAUUGCUGGGUUGCUUUGGUGUGCCUGAGAGAGUUUUCCAAAUUACAUUUUUACGUCCUGCACGGGCUAUGUGGGUAUUAUAUAUUUUUAAAGCACUGUUCACGAUGUUUUUGGCCUCUUCAUCGACCACACGAUUUCCUGGCAGAGGAUCCAGAAAAUAGACGGUUUCUCUCUUUGCUCUUACAAUCAGCAAAAUCCAAUGACGGCUGCACAAAAUUAAUAUAAAAACGACGGUUAUUUACAAAAACGACGUAUUAUAAUAUUUCACACGACGAAAUAAAGUAGCAAUCGACGACAUUAUAGAUGUCUCACGACGAUAAAUAACUACCGACGUGGUUAGUAGUUUCAAACGACUAAAUAAAAUAAAACACCGACGUGGUUAGUUUAUAAGCUGUCAUUUAUUGAAAAUCAUAAAAACAAAAUCCUAAGGAGACUAACCCUGGAUUGUAAGGCAUCAUGAAAAUCUGUUCACCGUCUGUCUUCUGAAGUCGAGCUGCUACGAGUCGUGAUCUUUCAGUUAUUGUGCCAGAGUUGGCACUAACUGUAGCAGGGUCGAUAAAGCCAACCAUGCUGCACAUAUUGGCUUUUUUCAAAACAUCGUGUAAGUACCUAAACAAAUAAAAUAAUAUAAACAAGUCAGCACACAAAACACGACGGUUAUGUAUAAAAAAACGACGUAUUAUAAUAUUUCACACGACGUACUUAAAUAGAUGAGGACGUUAUAAUAUAUUUAUCACGACGGUAGUUAGUUAAGACGACGUGGUUAGUUAGUUCAGACGACGCAAUAUAUAAACCAACGAGAUAUUAUUUUAGAAGUACAAACCUCAUAUAUACAGCCAAUACAGUAGCUCCAAUUUCUUCCAUGCCUGCAAAUUGUGUAAUAUCUUCAGGCAGGAGGAAGGUAUCGCGCUCACCACCAAACACCUCCUUAUCAAUUGUAAAUUGGAGUGUCUUAUCCUCAGGCAGGAGUGUCGUUUCCACAAAACGACAAAGGGUUUUUAAAGAAGAUGGCGCCUCCAUAUUUGAAUAAGCACCAACUUCAAUAACCUGUUUAAAGAAAUUAAAAAAAUGACGUGGUAAUUCAAUAAAGACGACGGUUUAAGGAAUAACACGUCGUCUUAAAAGUAUUUAAACGACGGUGGAAAAACUGUCGUGGUAAUUCCAUCAAGACGACGGUUUUAUGAAUAAAGCGUCGUCUAAAACCAUUUAAACGACGGUGCAAAAACCGUCGUUUAAAUAUUUUAUUACGUCUUAAAAAAAUUCCGCCGUCUAAGUUGUAAACAAACGACGGAUGAAAUAAAAAUAUCGACGUCUGAAAUUUUGAAAAACAAAUAAAAGGCAAAGUUAUGUGAACAUACCUUGUCGUCAUGCUUUUCUUCAUCUUCUUUCUCCUUUUCUUCUUCCUUCUCUUCAUCUCUUUUUUCUUCUUCCUUCUCUUCAUCUGGCUGAUGUUUCCCCAUUUUGGCAGUAUCAUCCUCCAAAUGUAGGGAUCUCACAUCACCUCCAGAGCAGCUAGCUUUGUCAGACAUUGGAUUUUUGGGGCUUUGGCUAAUUCUUGGUUUAAGCAUGCUUGGAUCAAAAUUGGGAAUUAAUUGGGAAAGCUGACUCAGGAAAUGCUCCCUCUCAGCCUCUACCAAUUGUUUUGUCCUAGCCUCCAUUCUUAAGGCCUCUUCCCUUGCCUUAGCCUCCAUCUUUUUAGUCUCUUCUUGAAGGAGAACUCUUAAACUGUCCUUCAAACGGUCGUCAAAGCUCACCCUCUGUGGUUUGGGCAAAUUGAAAUGUUGCCUUGGGGAAACACCAGCACCAACUCCCCUCAAUCUGCCUGGAUGCUCGGGGCCCAAAGCCAUGGUCAGCACAUCAUUGCUGCCAUCUACUCUGACUUUGCCUUCCGAGACUUGUUUCUGCAAUUCAUCCUAAAACAAAGAUAAACAAAAAAACACACGACGGUUAUUUAUGUACAAACGACGUAUUAUAUAAUUUCACACGACGCAAUAACGUAUAAACCGACGUUAUGAUAACUUAUCACGACGGUAGUUAUACCGACGUGGUUAUUUAUUUAAAACGACGAAAUGAAUAAACAACCGACGUCUUAUGCUAUAAUUAAAGAAAACAGAGUAGUGAUUCCUAUUUAGACCGUUAACGACGUUUUUAACAAAGUUUCGACGUGGUAAUAUCAUUCACACGACGAACAAUAUAACACACGACGUAAUAAGAAUAAUUCACAGUUUAAUAAAAAUUUAAAACAGAGUGAUAGUAGGCUUACAAUUAAUUUAGCUUUCUCUGCCACCUUUGGAUCAGGGAUGUUACCAUGUUUGUCCUGUCUAGCUCUCUUCCAUAAGGUAGAUCGAUCAAUUUCUACCCCAGGCAUGGUUUCCUCCAAUUGAUCCUCCAAUCCAGCAUAUCCUUUUCGAGACAAUCGAUGAUUGUACUCGAGUUUCUCCCUAAUCUGUGCAUGUUGAGAAUGCACAGACUCAAAAUCUUUGGAUAGCCUUGAAGCUACAAAGGCAUCCCAUUGUGCUUUCUCUAUGAAUUUAUAUGUUUCAGGGGGUUGGCUUAAUUUCUCCCUGUCAUUGGUGUAUGGAAGGAUAUAAUGCCUCGUUAGUGUAGACUUGAAAUCCUUCCAUUUCUUGGAAGCAGAAGCUAAAACAGAGGUCUUGCCCCCUUGGCCUACGACAAAAGCCAUGUCAACUGCUUCCCAAAUCUGCUCCUUUAUAUCCUUGGGGAUUUGGGACCAUUUCUUGUCCACAAGUGGGAUCCUGGAGCGUGCCAACACACCAAUAUACGACUGCAUCUCAAUAUGUGCUUGGCCAACACCUUUCCCCCUUUUAUUGUACUCAACAAUUGGCCUCAGUUUCUGAAGCUUUCUCUUCACAACACGAGGCAUUGUGCUCAUACCUCGACCAGUCUUUGAAUCAUCAGAGAUUGUUGUCUGGCUGGUUGGUUCUGUCUCAGCAGAUGAUGAAGCAAACUUCAUCUUCUUCGAAGACUUCAUCUCCUUCGAAGACUUGUCUUGAGGAGCUACCAUUCCAAGCUUCUUGGAGCCAGAAUCCUUAGUUUGUUGUUGAGAAACCAUUUUAACAGACAAAACUGCAAGUGAAAAUAUUUCAGGAAAACAUUAAGAACACAAACGACGGUAUUAAAAAAUACGACGUAUGAUAUGAUUUUAGACGACGCAAUGAAAUAAUCUCAGACGUAAUAAAUGUUUAAAAGCAUUAUUUAUAUAACGUCGUGGUAUAUAUGUUCACACGACGUCAAUAGUAAUACACCGUCGUGGUAAACUAUUAUUUAUAUAACGUCGUGGUAUUUAUGUUCAUACGACGUCAAUAGUAAUACACCGUCGUGGUAUUAACAUUUACACGACAUAAAACAAUAAGAUAUUUUGUCGUCUAUAUUAGAUACCAACCCUAGUUUCUUUUUCUUUAUAUUUUAUCAAAUAAGGGAAAAACAAAAACCAUUGUUCAGAGAAAUCAAACCUGCAAUUAAACAAGCAUAUAAAAAAAGACUAUUAUUUUAAAAACAACUUUGUCAAUUUUCAGACGACGCUAGAACAACUUACGAACCGUCGUGGUCUACCGUCGUCUUAUUUAGUUGAGGUAGUUGUCUUCAAAGUUGGAAACUUUCCCUCUUUGUCUGUAUAUUUUAUCAAACUUGGAAAGAAGUAAAAUGAUUUUGGCCAGAAAAAAGGUAAAAAGAUUUUUCAAACAAAAAACGUAUGAGCAUGCAAAACAGUAACCAAAAUAGUGAAAAUGAAAGCUUACCUUUUGCGUGCAAUGAAAGCAAGAGGAAGAUGAUCGAUGUUUAAGUUCAAGGACGACGAAGAAGACGAGAGGAAGACGAUGAGAAACUCUGACAAUGCUCUGACAAGGAAAAGAGACGAAAAGGUUUCUCUGGAGAUUGAAAUUUUUAAUCGGGUUUGGAAACAGUGCAUGUGUAAGUCCAAAAGUUGCUUACAUAUAAAACCAUUUCAAAAAAAUAAUACGGUGGUUACAUUUAACUACGUCGUUUUUAACUAACACGACGCAAUAUUUUUCGUUCGACGUGGAAUCAUUUCAUUUAACGUCGUUAGGUUUAAUAUAACCGACGUGGAUUUUAAUUUUUAAAUUAUGAAUAGAAUUUUUUUUUUCCCGUGACCUUUCAGUUUAUUUUUCAAUUACAGUGCGUUAUAAAUAGAGUUUUUUUUCCGGAGGAAAUUUAAAACGAAGGAAAUUAAUAUUCUGCAAUAUGUAAAGUUUCUUUUUUGGAUGACAGAUUUAAAUAAAAUAAGAAUAUAAAAACAACUAAUGUGUAAGUCAAGUAGACGAAAAGUUGCUUACAUAUAAAACCAUUUCAAAAAAAUAAUACGGCGUGGAGUUCUGUAAUGUACGUCAGUAAUACCGACGUUGAUUUUACAAUUUAAACGGCGGUUUUUUGGUAAGGACCGCCGUUGGUUUUAAAAAUUUAUUCUAUAAAUUUGUCGCUUUCAUUCAUUUUCGCGGUUUACAUUUAGGGUUCCAAGUUCUUCCUCUCUCAGAGACACUGUCUCUCACAUCUCAAAGACAAUAAUUUGGAGGUCUUUCUCAAAGAGAAAUUGAGCUUACAUUUAGGCUAGUUGACAAGAAGAAGCUUGUCAACUAGCCUUCUCACUUCCUUGAUCAAGCCUGAUAGGACACUUAGUGCUUCUGAAUACUCCUUGCUUUCCAUCAAAAGAGAUGCAAGCCUGACCUCCACUCGCUGUCGAAGGAAAGUUCGCUUCUCAGGGAAAUCUGAAGAUCAGAUGUGCCUGAUCCUCUGCUUGAUUUUUUUGACUAAGAAGAUCCGUCAGAUUUGUGAUAGCCUCUUCCUUUACGUAGAGCUUCAGAAGAAGAAGAUGGGUUUCAAGAAUGCGAUAGAGAAUAGAAAUGGCUUCAGAUGGCCUCUAAAGCAUGAGCAAUCGAAUCAGUAGUUGCUGGGAGAUAUGAUGAAGACAUUGUCAAUGCUUUGAACUAUACAAGUCCUGCAGAAAGAUAAAGGACCAAACUGUUAAAGAAACUGAAACAAUGGCGGUUUUCUGUUCUACCGUCGUCUUUUCUCGUCGUCUAUAUAAAGGUAAGAUGGCGGUAUAUUUAUAAUUACCGACGUAGAUUAUUUUGUUAAACGUCGUUAAGUGUACUACAACCGACGUGGAUUUUAUUUUUAAAUUAUAAAUAGAGUGUUUUUUUCCCGAAUUCUUUCAGUUUUAGUUUUCAAUUACAAAGCGUGAUAAAUAGAUUUUUCUUUCCCGAGGAAAUUUCAAAUGAGGGAAAUUAAUGUUCUAGAAUUUGUAAACUAACACGACGCAAUAUUACUAACCCGAGGAAAUUAUAAAUAGAUUUUGCUUUCCCGAAGAAAUUUUAAAUUAAUUCAGUUUGAAACAACGACGGGUUUUUGUUAUGACGUCGUUUUUAACUAAAACGACGCAAUAUUUGUUUUGCGACGUGGAAUAUUUUCAUUUAACGUCGUUAGUUUUAAUAUAACCGACGUGGAUUUGAAAUUUUAAAUUAUGAAUAGAAUUUUUUUUCCCGUGACCUUUCAGUUUAUUUUUCAAUUACAGUGCGUUAUAAAUAGAGUUUUUUUUCCGGAGAAAAUUUAAAAUGAAGGAAAUUAAUGUUCUGGAAUAUGUAAAGUUUCUUUUUUGGAUGACAGAUUUAAAUAAAAUAAGAAUAUAAAAACAACGACUGUUUUUGUAUUACUGUCGUCGUUUUUCGUCGUCUUAAGUAAGACUAAGACGACGUAAUAUAUUUGUUUAGCGACGUUGAUUUGUUUUUUAAACGUCGUUAGGUAUAAUAUAACCGUCGUUGAAAAUUGUCUUUCUGAUUGCAAAUUUGCAACGACGUUAGGUAUAAUAUUUGUAGAUACACAAACGCACACACAUCAUCAACUUCCAAAAAAUUGUCUCUCUGAUUGCAAAUCUGUGUCAUCUGUUAAGAUUAUGAUGUGGAACAGAGUUCCAUCUGGUAAGAUUUCGUAACCCUUGGGAUCUCAGAAAAAUCUGCUUAUGUCGGCGGUUUUCUAUAUAAACCGUCGUGGUUAUUUCAAUUCUUGUCAUUAAGUAGAUCUACCGACGUAGGAUAAGAAAAUCAAAGAAAAAAAUUGUUAACAAAAAUUCUUAUUAAGACGACGUAUAAAAUGAAUAAAUACGACGUUGAAUUUUAUAGUACGAUUUAAAGAUAACGUCGUAGAACUAUACGAGAAUGACGUCGAUAUAUUUAUAUUUUUCGUCGUUGUACAUUAAUUUAAUACGGCGAUAUUUUGUAUUUUAAAGCCUUGGAUUUGUUUGUAAUUAUACGGCGUCUUAUACGAAAACCUCGUCGUGUUAUUUUAUGAGUAAAAACGGCGGCUUUUAUUGAAAUCGUCGUCUUUACUUUCUACGUCGGUCGAUUCAUAACUUCUGCCGUUCUUUGUUGGUUUUGAUUUUACACUGCCGAAAUCUGUUUCAAAUAGACGUCGGUUGUUUAAUUAGGUACGUCGUUGUUUUUGAACAGCCAUUUGAAUCUCCAUUUUUAGUUGUCUAAGGUGGUAUUACACGACGGUGUUUUUAGAACCGUCGUCUUUUUAAAAACCACGACGGUUUUCACCUAGACCGUCGUUGUUUUCUGGUCGUCUUUUUCACUUUUUGUAGUAGUGGACUGUGACGGUACAACCUUCAAAGUCAAAAGCCAUCGCUUAAAACCACAUGGGGCAGCCGCAUUUCUUAAGGAUGAGACCAACAUCCUUCUCAAUGACCCCAAGUAAACGCAUCCAAAAGUCGGGCUAUUGACUAUAAAUUAAGCGCUUGUUGGGAGGCAACCCAACUAGGUACCUUCAUUCCUUAUCUUUUUAAUUUUUGUUUGUGUGUUUCCCGCGUUCAUUUAUUUUACUAUUCUUUGUCCUUGCAUUUAUUUACUUUUUAAACAUUGAGGACAAUGUUUCAUUUAGGUUUGAGGUAGGUAACAUUCGUUUUAUUUUUAAUUUUUUUGUUUUUAGUCUUUUUCGAGUCAUGCAAAACAUUGGUGUUUAUGUUUCGAUAAUACUGUUUUAAUCUGUGAUGGAUUGAAGAUUUGGCCCAAGUUUCCUUCUUUAAUUUUUUGUGCUGAGUCCAGCCAUAUAAGGCUCGUAUUUCUCUGACUUUUAAUUUGGAAGUUACAGCUGUUUUUCUAAACAGGGAUCUGGAACUCGAAUUUUUCUGCGAUUCUGUACGGUGUUCUGUAUUUAACGUCAGUUUUCAUGCUGUUCUAUUCUGUUUUCUGUAUUUGGUCUAAAUAAAAGUUGUGCCUUUCUUGUCUAUUUUCUGAGAAUAUAAGGCUUCUCAAAAUCCAUGCAGUACUUUAAGAGAUAAUUGUUGAAAACUGAUCUGAGGUCGAAAUUGAAAAGAAGCAGUUUUUCCGAAAUGUAAAUUCUAGUUAAAUUAUUGCAAGCGCACAAUUCGUACAAGUAAUAUAGAAAUAAGUAGAGUGACGUUCCCACGAAGACUGUAAUUUCCUAUUAACUACCAAUUAUGAUUAAUUUAGAAUUUAUUUGAACAGUUGAUUAAGAAGAUUGAUUGAUUUAAGUAAGCUAAAACAAUUAUAAAAAAUAGCAAUUUAAUUAAUGUUGGAAAAUCAAGAUGAUGAGACACUAGAGCAUCCGAUUUCACCAUAACCAAUUCCACUUAAUUCUUAUAGCCAAUUAACCCUAAUUACUACCCAUGUUGACAGUUGGUUUCUCCUAAUUCAUUCGAUAUUCCAACUCGGGCUCAACCAAAAGUAUUCUUAAUUAACAACACAUUCUCUCUCGAGCAAUGGAUUUAGAAAAUCAAGAACCCAUUAAGUUCUAUGAGAACCUGCAAGAAAACUGCAUGAGUCAUGUUAGUCCCUCUCGGGCACUCAUUCAAGACAUGGUAUCUGUUAUAAGAAGCAAACACCAAACAUCUCCUCUCGGUCUCCUCCUGGAUCAUCAAAUCAAUUAGAUAUUGGCCAGAUAUUCAAAGCAUUAAGAACAAUAACAAAUACUCAACAUGAAAUAGUAAUCAAAAAUUAAUAGAACUACAAAAAUUAAGUAUUCAUGGUUAGACUACAUCGUAGCCCUAGCAAGGAAAAUUAGUUCAUGACAAAAGAAAAGAUAAACAAGAGAAUUGUUGUCAUAAAACCGAUUUGGCAGAUGGACUUGAUCUCUGGAUUCUCCACAGCAACACAGCGACAACAAAUUCUUGGCUCUCUCUCUGAUAUAUUUGUGGGUGUAUGAAAGUUGUAUAUGGGAAGAUGAUAGAAAAUAUGAUCCUCUGAACAGAUCCUUAGGGUGACCUUAUAUAGUGUAAAAUAACUAAACCCUACUCUAAAAAAGUCUAGAAAAACUCUCCUAAAGCCAAACAAAAUCUCAAACAAUUAAGGAAACAAACUAGGAAAGAAUCCUUCUUUGACUAGGAAACACGUCAUCCAACUUGCAUGCAUGUUUUUGGGGUCGUUCCACUUCCUAUAAAAUUCUGGAAAAAUAUGAGAAACGUAGCUUUAUCUCUAAGCUUUCCAAGCAUAUAUUACACGCCACUAGGAAAAAUCGCAAAGCUAUUCAAAUCUUCAAUCUUCCACAGCAAUGCAGUUCUAAUGGGAUUUCAACUUAGGCUGUCUUGACUUGCAGGUCUGGAGCAUUUGACUUGGUAGAAAAUUAUGAAACUUUGACACAAUGAUCUUAAAUAUCUUAGCUUUCUUCUACAAUUGGCCUUGCACUAAAAUUCAUUCGAAAAGUCGACUUUCAGUUGAAAUCCGUCCAAGAGUGCAGAAUAGCUGAAAAUAAGAAAAGUAAAGUAAUAAUACUCAUUUUAAUUAACUUUCCCUACAAAACCUAUAUAUAAAAGGUAUAAAAAUAUAGGAAAUAAUACUCUUUCUUGUUCUUUUUCACAUCCCCAAAUAACAGAGGAUUUUUCAGGUAGAGAUAUCAUUAAGAGAAUUUUUUUUUAUACAAGCGAUAUUUGACUUUAAUCUAAUCUAAACUACAGGAAAGGUGAUUUGAACUCACGUGCAGAGUGGGGAGUACAUCCGCUUUAGCCAACUUGGCUAGACCCAUGUCUUCGUCAUUAAGAGACUUUUGAAUGCAUCUGCUUGCAGAGCCACAGGUUCUAACCAAAAACAUGCGGGAGUUGUGUGCACAACACACAGACUCCACAAACUUAAACGACAAAGUUAUCACCUUCAUACCAAACUGAGAUUUAAUUUUGGAAACUGAAAAGAAUGAUCUUAUAAACAAUAAUUGCAAGCGGAAACGAUAUCAGAAGGCUGAUUUAAUACCUUAAGAGUCCUUGACUUGAUGUUAAUGGAAUUUGUGGCACAGAAGAAAACUAAUGUGCACAAGUACUUACCAAUAGAAAGGACCACAAUCCACAACCAAUAAUGGCCUUGGUUUUUCAGAAACCAGUAAAAAUAAAUAGGCCACAAACUUCAUACUGUGAUUAAUCAAACACAUAGUUGCACUACGUUUUCUUAACAGAAUUUGUCCUUCCCAACAAAAACAUAACUUACACAAAAAUUUACAUACAUAUAGCCUUCUUUCUUAUCAGUAUGGCCAAAUUAAAGCGAUGCAAAACUACAAAUAAGUCCACUAAAAACGAUUGAUAAACAGAAAAUAUGCAACUUAGUACCGAAAAUGAUUUAA
RNAcentral lists this long non-coding RNA (37286 nucleotides) under Prunus persica (peach). RNAcentral describes it as "long non-coding RNA (PPER_LNC005582)". Lineage: Eukaryota; Viridiplantae; Streptophyta; Magnoliopsida; Rosales; Rosaceae. The record is from RNAcentral.